Non-coding RNA from Abortiporus biennis, 84 nucleotides. The record is from the annotation of a GenBank genome assembly. Lineage: Eukaryota; Fungi; Basidiomycota; Agaricomycetes; Polyporales; Podoscyphaceae.
GUCUCUAUAGCUCAGUGGUAGAGCAUACGAUUGCAGCCUUGAGCUUCUAUCGUGCGGUCCCGUGUUCGAACCACGGUGGGGACU